This 253-nucleotide ribosomal RNA is filed under the name uncultured bacterium. Its description in RNAcentral is "partial 16S ribosomal RNA". It matches the Rfam family "Bacterial small subunit ribosomal RNA", at positions 524 to 776 of the family's 1533-position model. The record is from RNAcentral.
UACGUAGGUGGCAAGCGUUGUCCGGAUUUACUGGGCGUAAAGAGCGCGCAGGCGGUCGUUCAAGUCGCGUGUGAAAGCCCCCGGCUCAACUGGGGAGGGUCACGCGAUACUGAUCGACUCGAAGGCAGGAGAGGGAAGUGGAAUUCCCGGUGUAGUGGUGAAAUGCGUAGAUAUCGGGAGGAACACCAGUGGCGAAGGCGGCUUCCUGGACCGGUUCUGACACUGAGGAGCGAAAGCGUGGGGAGCGAUCCGG